RNAcentral lists this ribosomal RNA (482 nucleotides) under uncultured bacterium. RNAcentral describes it as "partial 16S ribosomal RNA". It matches the Rfam family "Bacterial small subunit ribosomal RNA", at positions 30 to 507 of the family's 1533-position model. The record is from RNAcentral.
AUUGAACACUGGCGGCAUGCUUUACACAUGCAAGUCGAACGGUAACAGGCCGCAAGGUGCUGACGAGUGGCGAACGGGUGAGUAAUGCAUCGGAACGUGCCCAGUCGUGGGGGAUAACUACUCGAAAGAGUAGCUAAUACCGCAUACGAUCUAUGGAUGAAAGCGGGGGACCGUAAGGCCUCGCGCGAUUGGAGCGGCCGAUGUCAGAUUAGGUAGUUGGUGGGGUAAAGGCUCACCAAGCCAACGAUCUGUAGCUGGUCUGAGAGGACAACCAGCCACACUGGGACUGAGACACGGCCCAGACUCCUACGGGAGGCAGCAGUGGGGAAUUUUGGACAAUGGGCGCAAGCCUGAUCCAGCAAUGCCGCGUGCAGGAAGAAGGCCUUCGGGUUGUAAACUGCUUUUGUACGGAACGAAACGGCUCUGGUUAAUACCCGGGGCUAAUGACGGUACCGUAAGAAUAAGCACCGGCUAACUACGUG